UACAGAGGGGGCAAGCGUUGUUCGGAAUUACUGGGCGUAAAGGGCGCGUAGGCGGCCUGUUAAGUCGAACGUGAAAUCCCCGGGCUCAACCCGGGAACUGCGUCCGAUACUGGCAGGCUUGAAUUCGGGAGAGGGAUGCGGAAUUCCAGGUGUAGCGGUGAAAUGCGUAGAUAUCGGGAGGAACACCAGUGGCGAAGGCGGCUUCCUGGACCGGUUCUGACACUGAGGAGCGAAAGCGUGGGGAGCGAUCCGG
This 253-nucleotide ribosomal RNA is filed under the name uncultured bacterium. Its description in RNAcentral is "partial 16S ribosomal RNA". It matches the Rfam family "Bacterial small subunit ribosomal RNA", at positions 524 to 776 of the family's 1533-position model. The record is from RNAcentral.